Long non-coding RNA from Rhipicephalus microplus (southern cattle tick), 298 nucleotides. The record is from RefSeq and is a predicted model, not a curated record. NCBI's taxonomy places the organism in Eukaryota, Metazoa, Arthropoda, Arachnida, Ixodida, Ixodidae.
GCACUGCCAGCCGAACAAGAAAGCUUGGGCAGCUAUCAGCAUUACAAUGUCGACCACGAAGUUCGGGUUCAUCUUGAUGCUCACAUUAGCAGUCAUGGUGGUGAAAGUCUCAAGUGCACCUGAGGGACCCUAUGGCCUAUUUGGCAAUCGACAAUGUGACAGACGGCCUUGCAGAGGAGAAGGACUCAAUGCCCCUUGCGACUAUCCUACAUGCGAAUGUGUGCCAAGAGGUGAUGGAUACUACUGCAGCUCUGUAAUUUGGUACUAACAUCCUUAAUAAAAUCUAACACAAGACGCU